GGGGAUGUAGCCUAGUGGGAGAGCAUUUGGCUUAGCAUGCAUGAGGCCCUGGAUUCAAUCCCCAGUACCCCCG
RNAcentral lists this transfer RNA (73 nucleotides) under Ictidomys tridecemlineatus (thirteen-lined ground squirrel). Its description in RNAcentral is "Spermophilus tridecemlineatus (thirteen-lined ground squirrel) tRNA". It matches the Rfam family "tRNA". Rfam says of the family: Transfer RNA (tRNA) molecules are approximately 80 nucleotides in length. The record is from Rfam by way of RNAcentral. Lineage: Eukaryota; Metazoa; Chordata; Mammalia; Rodentia; Sciuridae.